Long non-coding RNA from Peromyscus eremicus (cactus mouse), 1724 nucleotides. RefSeq lists it as uncharacterized. NCBI's taxonomy places the organism in Eukaryota, Metazoa, Chordata, Mammalia, Rodentia, Cricetidae. The transcript has 2 exons. The record is from RefSeq and is a predicted model, not a curated record.
GAGAAGGUCAUGUAUUGCUAGUUUAUUUCAAGUAUGGUUUGCUUUAAUUUUCUCAUUUGUUGAGACGCCUUUCUUCUGGAACUGAAGAGCCUAGCAUCUGACACUUAACUGGCCAACUGUGUCAUACCAUCACGAUGGGAGACCGUCCAUCCGCCACUCUCUCACCAGGCCAGUUUCAACAUUCAAAUCCUCCUGCAUCAGCCUCUAGAGUACCAGAAUUAGAGGCAUGCGCCAACACACUUAGCUAACCACUCUUUCAGUGACUGACUACUCACUGAGAAGCAACCUAUGUCCUGCAGGGCCUGGACUAUUCCGCAGUAUCUAGGUCCACUCAACAACCGUACAAUCCAGUUCUGUAUUCAAGGAGCCUAGAGCGGUCAACAGAAGAUCGUCAGAGUUAGGAUGGGCAGCAUGAGCCCAGUCUGCAGGCAGAUGUUCCGGCUACAGCUGGAGCCUAGAGCCUCACGAGAAUGGAAGUUGGUGGCAAAGGACUCUAGUCCAGCUGUACACUCACUCACUCAUGUGACCUCUAUUGAAACAGGGACACCUGAGCUGCCAAGGUUACAGAGUCACUGUGGGAAUUUAGUGAAGGGGGUACAUGACAAAAGAUCUUGCAACCUAGCAGCUCUCUACAGUAUGAGUCUUAUUAUUGUGACACAAUCCCAGGGUAGUGUGGUGUGAAUGACCCUCUUCACCCUGUGAGCACAUCCCUGCUGUAAGGGACUGAGACACACACAUUUGAGGAAGAUUGAUGUUGCUGCCAGGACACACCUAAGCAGAUCAUUAUCUAUAACAUGGACACAGACUCAGUGCCCAGAAUCUUUGGCUUUUACUGUGUUCAAAAGCACGGUAUUAAACCUAAAAUCAACCUAAGAUGAAAUUCACUUUUCUGGAGCUAUUCCAUCAAAAGUUGCAUGUAUACAUUUCAUGUGUUUGCUGAUACCCCAGGAAACUGAGAGGUUUAGAAGGAAGCAAGAAAGCAAGAGACCUCAAGUAGUCCACGAUCUCCUCAAGACCAUUAGAGUGCCUUCUGAAAACCACAGAGCUGGAGCUGGACCGUUUCAACCCAGAUCCUUGUGUGAAGUUCAAAGUGGCCUCUGAGGUCAUAGAGCUAAGGCACCGGUCACCCAAGGAAGCUGUUUGAUGUUCUACUUCUCACUUUUCAUGCUGAGCCAAGGAAUGGCCCCUCAGCAACCAUCUAUGGUAAUGUAGAAAUGGCCAUGUAUUGCUAGAUCAGUUUACCUCCAGCUUCAGCCUAAUAUACAAUCAGCUCCUAUACAUCACACAGCUAAUACAGGUCAUUCAGGACACAUGGCUUAUAGAGAUCAUUCAGGACAGAUGGCCACCAUCUCACCUCCUUCUUGGAAUGAAACCCACCUCCCACAUGGCCACCCCCCGGCUCUUCCCCGGCUCCUGCUGGCUUAUCCCAGCCAUGUGGGCCCUUCUGCCAGCCACCGCUGUCAGAAAUGUAUAGCAGGGCUUUUAAUCACCUGCCAAUGGGCCUGUGAGUGCAGAUGCUCACCCUGGAGCCAAGAGAGAUUCGCAUAAGAGCUGGAAGAGCCAACAGGCACAGAUUGGUCAUUGUGGAGGCAUGGAAGGGGCAUGUGUAGCUGUGGUCACAAAAAAGAAAAAAAGAAAAAGCAAGCAGCUUUUUGAAGAGGUCUAGGGUCUUCUCCUUGUCCACCUGCCACUGGGUGUUAUAAAUAAAGUUUUAUGGAAACAUA